CCUACGGGAGGCUGCAGUGGGGAAUAUUGCACAAUGGGGGAAACCCUGAUGCAGCGACGCCGCGUGAGUGAAGAAGUAUUUCGGUAUGUAAAGCUCUAUCAGCAGGGAAGAAAAUGACGGCACCUGAUGAAGAAGCUCCGGCUAACUACGAGCCAGCAGCCGAGGUAAUACGGAGGGGGCCAGAGUUAUCCGGAUUUACUGGGUGUAAAGGGAGCGUAGACGGGAGGACAAGUCUGGAGGGAAAUGGAGGGGCUUAACCCCGGAACUGCAUUGGAAACUGUGCAGCUAGAGUGCAGGAGAGGUAAGUGGAAUUCGUGGUGUAGCGGUGAAAUGCGUAGAUAUUAGGAGGAACACCAGUGGCGAAGGCAGCUUACUGGACUGUAACUGACGUUGAGGCUCGAAAGCGUGGGGAGCAAACAGGAUUAGAUACCCCAGUAGUC
RNAcentral lists this ribosomal RNA (440 nucleotides) under uncultured bacterium. RNAcentral describes it as "partial 16S ribosomal RNA". It matches the Rfam family "Bacterial small subunit ribosomal RNA", at positions 338 to 795 of the family's 1533-position model. The record is from RNAcentral.